RNAcentral lists this unclassified non-coding RNA (6858 nucleotides) under Leishmania donovani. RNAcentral's name for it is "gene:LdHU3.28.0330(CDS-product:glycerol-3-phospha te_dehydrogenase_(FAD-dependent)_mitochondrial)". Lineage: Eukaryota; Euglenozoa; Kinetoplastea; Trypanosomatida; Trypanosomatidae. The record is from RNAcentral.
CAAAACACUAGUAUUGGUUGCCCUGCAGUCGCCCUCUCCCACUUGAAUUUUUCCACCUUCCCCUCCCCCAGUCUCUGUGGCUCUGUCUCUCUCUCUCUCUCUGUCGUGAGACGUGGUGGUUGUGGUCGUUCUCCGGUCAACAUCUGCCUCUUCCAACACGCAGACCCAGAGCCGCCUUUCAAAGGCGCUCUGGGAUUUCGCUUCGUCUCUCUCUAUAUUUAUAACGUGACGCCUUCCUCUCUUCCUCCUCUUGCGUACGUCUGCAAGGCCCUCCUCAUUUGAAUCGCCUUGCCUCUUUUUUCCUUUUGUCUACCACAUCUGUCGGCAUUGUCACAUGUAUUGGACCGUACGCCGUACUCCUUUCGCAUCCAUCCGUUUUUUGCGUGUUCUGUGCCGCACCAACAGUGAAUCUUCCCUGCCUCCCCCUCCCUCACAGACACACAUACACAGCCCCACUUGUGCCGGUGGAGAAGGCACCUCCAUCAGGGUCGCGCAUCUCGUUUCGCUGUGCACACCCAUAUUCUCUCCCCCUCCUGAGGACGAUAAAGGCCAAGGGCAGAAGGACGCCCGUCUUCUCCGUCGCCGCCCCCUCUUUGUAUUCGCGCUAUUCGCAAAAGAGGUGCACAGGAGAAAGCGCUUCUCUCCUCUGUCCGCCGUCCCCGCGCUCCCCUUCAUCACUUGUAGCUCUCUCUGUCCUUGUGCGUGCGCCGGAGAGAAACCCCCGAACACUUUCCCAUUCGAUUGAAUUACAGGAGAGCGAAGCAAUGGUCGCUACCGCCGUGAAAUACGUUAUCGGCGCCGGCGUGGCCGUCUUCGGUGGGAUGGUGGGCUUCAGCUACACAAACCCCGCCUGGACGCAGCGCAGAUUUGACACAAGCAAGUGUCCGCCGCUGAAGUACGAGACUGUGCCGACGCGCGAGAUGUGCGUGCAGGCGCUGAAGGCGCACAACUCGGUGACGAACCCGCUUGACGUGCUGAUCAUUGGCGGCGGAUGCGUCGGCGCUGGGUCUGCCCUGGACGCCGUCACGCGCGGCUUGUCGGUCGGCAUGGUGGACAUGGGCGACUACGCUGGUGAGACGAGCAGUCGCAGCACGAAGCUCAUCCAUGGCGGUAUCCGCUACCUGCAGAAGGCUGUUUUUCAGGCGGACCCCAUGCAGCUGAAGCUUGUGGCUGAGGCGCUGCGCGAGCGCACCAUCAUGAUCCACCAGGCUCCACACUUGUGCCACAGUCUGCCAACACUGGUGCCGUGCUAUCACCCGAUCGAUAUUGGCAUGUACUGGUGUGGUGCGAAGAUGUACGACCUCAUGGCCGCUUUUUAUGGUGGCACCCUGGAAUACUCUAGCUUCCUCUUUCCCUACGAGGUGAUGAAAGCUUAUCCGAAGCUGAGGAAGAUGGAUCAGGACAACAACGCCCUCCUCGGCGCUGUGCGCUACUAUGACGGACAGAUGAAUGACGCACGGCUCUGCUACUCGGUGGCCAUGACGGCAGCUUGCUACGGCGCCGCCACGGUGAACUACGCCAGGGUGAAGCAGAUGGAGGUGGUGAAGGACGACAAGGGCGAUGAGCUGGUGCGCGCCAUCAUCGAGGAAAGCAUCGCCAGGAAGACGAUCGAGGUAUACAGCAGGUCUAUCAUCAACGCAGGUGGUCCCUUCAGCGGCGAGGUCGAGAAGCUUGCAAAGGGUGCCGAAAGGCAGCUCGACAUGUUCCCGGCCGCUGGCACGCAUAUCGUGAUUGACCGCAAGUACUGCCCGAGGGAGCGCGAGGCGAUGGUCGUGCCAUCGAACGACGGCCGCGUCGUCUUUGCCAUUCCGUGGCUCGGUGGCUGCCUGCUUGGCACCACAGACCACACGUGUGACGUGCAGUCCAACCCGCCGGUGCCACAAGCGGACGUGGACUUCCUCCUAGAGAACAUCAGACCCUUCAUCGGCAGCGUGCCGCCGGAGGCAGUGAAAUCCGCGUGGACCGGCAUUCGCCCGCUCGCGAUUCCGAAGGCGCAGAAGCUGAGGGGCGGCGGCACGCAGAACAUCGUGCGCGAGCACGUCAUCGCGGUGGAUCCGAAGUCGCACGUGCUGAACAUCACCGGCGGGAAGUGGACAACUUACCGUAAGAUGGCAGAGGAGGCGGUGGACGAAUUGCAGAGGACUCUCAUGAAAGGCAAGGCCGACUUCAAGCCCUGCUGUACUAUGAACCUGGUGCUCGUGGGUGCGCGGAAUCUUGACAAAGUCGCGUCCACCGCCCCCUUGGGCAUCCCUGAGGACGUGCAUAAGCACUGGCGCUCCAACUACGGUGAUCGCUACGGCGAGGUGAUGGCCGUUGCCACGAAGGACUCCAAGCUGAUGGCGCGCCUGGCGAAGGACUCGCCAGUGGUCGAGGCCGAGGUUGUCUAUGCGGCUCAGGGAGAACACUGCGAGCACGUCAUGGACUUCAUCGCUCGCCGCACCCGGAUAGCCUUUGUGAACGCCGAGCAGGCGGAGCAGGUGGUGCCACGUGUGACAGAGCUCAUGGGGCAAGUUAAGGGUUGGGGGAACUCGAAGCGCAAUGCGGAGAGGGCGGCCGCUUACUCCGCCCUCGCCUCCUUCCAGGGCAGGUAGACUCACGCGAGCCGGCCUGAUGUCGCCGCACCCGAUUGGGAAAAAGGCGAAGAGUCCGAGAUGCUCACGCGGAGAAGAUUGAAAACGGAGUGAGCGGAACAGGGAGACAUGAGAGACGUCGCCUGUCUUUUGCCCUGCCCCGCUUCUGCUACGGCCACCAGCCAGAGGCGUCGAGUACUUUCCCUUGCCCAUAGCGUCUCUGAUUUGCCCAAUCGGCACACUCUGUAAGACCCCAAUGUCGUGCGGGGGUGGGGAGGAGCCACUUCAGCGUGGCAUCUCAGGACACAGGGGGGGGCGCUCGCUCUCUCUCUCUGUGUGCGGAGGAGCGAAGCAGCCCCCCACCGCCCACCCUCUUCGCUAUCCCUGCCAAUGCGAGGCCACUUCUGGUGGUGGCAAGCUCAAACGCGCCCUCAUGGUGUGUCGGAGGCGCCAGAGCGAUGCGUCGCUGCUGACGCCGGCGGCCAGGUCCCGGAGUGGGGCGGUGUCGGUGCGACCUGCGACCGUGAACACGUCUGUGCCGCCCACAUCGAUGGGCAAAGCGCCAGCGGGAGUCGAGCGAAUCCCACCCAACCCUCACACCGCCCACUGCGGGGGGAGGCCGGGGUGUCGCCCCGCGAGGGGUGCACCGCAGGGGUGGCGGCCGGCAUAACGGGCCGGCUGUGAGGCGGCCCGCGCGCCGGCGGGUGCCGGGUGGAGAGAAGCUUGGCUCAUGCCGUACGGCAGAGAACGGAGACUGUAGGCAAAGGACUGUCAACGACUAUCUGGAUGAUUGUUGUCUGCGUCGCUGGUGAUAAAUCCGCUCUCUGUCGUUGGUGGAGCGUACUCCCUUGCCCCCCUCCCUACCCUUCCUCUCUCUCUGCUCAGACUUCUUUCGUGUUGAUCUCCGCUACUGGGUAGUCUGCCGCUGGGAGUGUGGGGCCCGUACCCGCUCACAGAUGUACCAGGAGUACGUUUGUGUGAAGCGGGAAAAAGUCAACAGAACUACUUUUCGUUUUCGGCUUGCAAGCGGUACUCGUGUGUACAGCAUGCUUCGUGCUCCGCCGCUUUUCUGGUUCUCCCUUUUUGGUGCUGCACAGUCCAAGAUCUCGAAGGAUAUGUUUUAGCCGGACUGCACGGCCGAUGUUUCUCCUCAUCUCUCGCUUCCUUUGUGUGCGCGCGUGCCUGUGAAUGGGCGUUGUCGGUGUCGGCUGUAUGUUGCUCUUGCUCUCUAUUUUCUCCCUCGGCCCUGAUGCCGGCCACCUCACUUUGAUGCCCAGGGGUUUGUACUCACUCUGUGUGGGGAGGUCAAGGGCCUGCCGCCCGGCCUCCGGCACGGCUGCGAACUCUUGGCUUUCGUGAAGGGGUCUGGACUGGCGCUAUGCCCGAGAGACUUGCGCUCACGUUUGUACCAGCUUGACGCGAGUGGCCUCGACGACGCAGCACGUAUACGCACCCUCCUGUUUUUUCCUGCUGCUGCUGCGUCGUGGUAGUACUGCGCAUGAUCCAAGGCCUAGCCGGCACUUUUUAGUCCGGCUCCUGGAAUCCUCGACACCAGUCUGCAUUCUGCAAGACGAAAAGAAGCACGGCGGUGGCGCCGCGUUGCUCACGCAACACGGCAUGUGCAGAGGUGUGUGCCCUCCCCUCCGUUCCCAAGGGCAAAUGUGUAGCAGAGACGGUCUGGCUUUGCUGCGGUGACCGUGCUCGACGGAUACUCACCUCACGCCCGGCCACACGGCCAAGGGUGUCCUCGCGGCAUGGAAAGUUCUCUCGAUCAGGUGCCAAGCGACGUUGCACUCAGUUCUCGCAUGAUUCGUAUGGGCGCUAACUAGCGUCGCCCGGUGUGCGACACGAGAUGACGACCCGAUCGGGCUGGUGCCAUUCCGUAGGAUGGGCUCAAUGACGAAUACCUGACGUGUGCAAGCGAUAGCGACACCACGGCACGGCACACCGCCGACACCGCCACGCAGACGCGGACCUGCGAGGUGUCCCGCAAGGCCACAGCAAAAUGCACGACGGCGGCCAACAACACCCACAAAGGCGGGCCCUUCUAGUGACGCCGCCUACGCCGCGCUCUGCACGCCAGAGCUGACGCGAUGGGAAUCAGCUCAUGUGAGGCUGCUCUGCGCGCCGCCCUCUGCAAGGUGGUGCGCUGGACACUGGAGCACGCCAGGCAGCUGGAUGAGCAUCCCCCAACACAAGGCGCACACGCGCCGGUGCGCGGCACCGCGACCAGCAGCAGCUCUCCGCUGCACGCACGUGCCUAGAGGAGUAUCGCCACCCCCGCCUUCUCCGCGUGCACAUCCAGCCCACGCGCCGCAUCGGUCCACAGGCUGCAGAGGUCAACAAAGUACACACGACUCGGCCUGCCGAGCGCAGGGGGGGGGUCUGUCCCGCACGAAUGCGGUCCGUCAAAGGAUCUCCUCCGCUACUCCUACAUGGCGCGGCUGGAGUCAGCGUUGCUCCACGGUGCCGCCGCGUGGUCGGAUCGUGCUGGUCGGCAACUGCACGAAGGCCCUUGCGCACCUUCACGCCCACACAGUAGCAGUCGUCGUGGGUACCCCAAAAUACGCACACAGCGGGCACCUACUCGAAGAGGCCAAGUUCCUGCCCCGGAGCCCACAGCGCUGCUGCGCCGCGAACGCCUGCAUCCCUCCGCAGCUACGCCAGGAGGCCGCCUUGCGCACUUGGCGUGGGGAUGGGUGCACGCGCCGCAUGGCAGUGCCGUCACAACGCCUCCGCAGCUCUCACGCCGGCGUGCAGGCAUCGACACCCCUCGGUGCUCCGCACGCCCGUUGCGCAGCCCUCCCCUACCCGCUGGUGCACAGAUGGUGCAGCACAGACACACAGCAGGUCACGUGCCGCCGUGAUGCUCUAUCGCGAUCAUGCACGCACAGAUGCGCACGGGCAAGGGGCGGCGGCGCCCUUGUGUGCCGCGACAGCACCCAGCCUGCAGCAGUGGUGUCCACGCCUCACCUGCGGCGACAAAGAGAAGCACGUGUGGCCGCCCUUGCUGCGGGGUCACUCUGCCGCCCUCAUGGCACCCGACACGGCCCCCGCAACCAUGGAGGACGGCUUGGUGCGACGGACCUGUGCACGUGCGCUGGCGCGACGGUGGCCCGUCGCGCGCGCCUCACAUUUCAGCGUGCCGGUGGUCAUUGUGUAUGGAAACACAAGGACACAGGUGACAGUCUUGCCGAAUCGGCAAUGCCAGAGAGGCGCCGACGCCAACUGCACGGAUGACGGACCCGGUCACCCGUCUCCAGCGCCCGGUCGACAUUCACCGAAACUGCACGACGGAUCCCACCGCCUUUGCCCCCGCGCAGGAACCUGGGCGCUGCCGGCGAGGAUGAAGGCAUUCAGUCCAACCGAGUGUAUCUGGCGCCGACUGCGCAGCGCGUAUGUAACGAUGGGACGGGAAAGGACAAGAAGAGCCUGUCUGGUGCACGGCCCGAUACCAUGGCAGGACGGCUCGUCCCAGACACGACCGGGAUGUGGCCGUAGUGCAGUGGAGUUCGGCGGACUGUGAUCGUGUAUGCGUGUGCGCUUGCUCACUUGCUCGUGCUAGAGUGGCCACGUCGAAAACGAAAGAAAGCGCCUCGGAAGUGCGCUCUCCGUGUGCGCACGCAAUGCCAUCGCGUGCAUCAGUGGUGUCCAUGCCUGUCAACACGGGGAACGCGAAGGGAAAGCAGGGACGACUGCGAUGGUGCUUCACUGGUUAGCCUCAGCUUUUCUUCCACUUAAGCUGAGCGUGCACCUCUUGCUCGUCUCCAUCUCUCGCUGCUGACGCGUGCAGUGCCAACUGUGCACACUCCACCGGAGAUGGUCACCGUAGGACCCCCACUGGUGUGGUGGGCGGUAAUGUGGGCAGCGGUAACGAAAGGACGUAGAGCGGAAACGAGGUGGCAUCGCGUUCCGGCUGACGGCGAGAGAGCGCCACACCUCAACUUGCUCGUGUGCAUUGUCGAGUCGAGAAGGCUUCUUUUUUCGACUUGGCGCCACACGGGGUUCAGGCAGGUCAUCGUCAUCUUAUGCUGUCCUCUACACCUCGUUUCAUGGGCUCCCUUUCUGUUGUGCCUGAUGCGACGCGAUGACGCGGACACUACGCAUGGCAGCUUCCUCGGUGUCUUUGUACUUCUCACUGUUUGCUUGAUGCUUUCCGUGUGAGUCUCCACGCGCGUGUUGGUGGACAACAUCACGCCCCAUCCAAAGAAGAACGAUAGGGCGCCACUCGUGCUGAGAAGCGUGCUCGUCUUCCGCAACUCCCCCCCCUCUCUCUGCAAAAAGUAAA